GCGGCGGUAGUUCAGUUGGUAGAACGUCUCGUUGCCAACGAGAAGGUCGCCGGUUCGACCCCGGUUCGCCGCU
Molecule: transfer RNA, 73 nt
Filed under: Candidatus Dojkabacteria bacterium
Lineage: Bacteria
Description: tRNA-Gly
Rfam family: tRNA
About the family: Transfer RNA (tRNA) molecules are approximately 80 nucleotides in length.
Source: RNAcentral